AGUGAACGCUGGCGGUAGGCCUAACACAUGCAAGUCGAACGGCAGCACAGUAAGAGCUUGCUCUUACGGGUGGCGAGUGGCGGACGGGUGAGGAAUACAUCGGAAUCUACUUUUUCGUGGGGGAUAACGUAGGGAAACUUACGCUAAUACCGCAUACGACCUACGGGUGAAAGCAGGGGAUCUUCGGACCUUGCGCGAUUGAAUGAGCCGAUGUCGGAUUAGCUAGUUGGCGGGGUAAAGGCCCACCAAGGCGACGAUCCGUAGCUGGUCUGAGAGGAUGAUCAGCCACACUGGAAAUGAGAAACGGUCCAGACUCCUAAGGGAGGCAGCAGUGGGGAAUAUUGGAAAAUGGGCGCAAGCCUGAUCCAGCCAUACCGCGUGGGUGAAGAAGGCCUUCGGGUUGUAAAGCCCUUUUGUUGGGAAAGAAAAGCAGCAGGUUAAUACCCCGCUGUUCUGACGGUACCCAAAGAAUAAGCACCGGCUAACUUCGUG
RNAcentral lists this ribosomal RNA (492 nucleotides) under uncultured bacterium. RNAcentral describes it as "partial 16S ribosomal RNA". It matches the Rfam family "Bacterial small subunit ribosomal RNA", at positions 29 to 507 of the family's 1533-position model. The record is from RNAcentral.